This 754-nucleotide long non-coding RNA is filed under the name Gallus gallus (chicken). Its description in RNAcentral is "long non-coding RNA NONGGAT001241". The record is from RNAcentral. Lineage: Eukaryota; Metazoa; Chordata; Aves; Galliformes; Phasianidae.
GUUGCUGUGCUUGUCAUUUUAGACAAAGCAUUUGCUGAAGUCAGUGUGUGUAACUACACAGCCGUGGAGGUAAUACUGGGGAUGUGGAUCUAGAUUCACUUGUGAGAUCUUUUUAAAAUUAGUUUGGAGCUGCUAUUUCAUAAUUUGCUUGUAAAGCUGUUGAAGCCAUGCUUGCAAGUCUGUGAUCACUGCUCCCAGGGUGACCGCAUCCGCGGGCUGGAGGAGAGCCAUGCGCUGGAGGGACGGACAGACAGAGGGACGGCCAAGGCAGGCAGGCGCUGCAGCACGCUGGGAGUUGUGUUUGUGAGCAGGCAUGCUGGGAGCGCGAGUCUUUCCACUUUACUUCCUGUCUGCAAUGGCCUCGCGAUGUAAGGCAGGGCCCGUCUGGCGCUUCCAUUUGGGGAGGUAAUUACCACUUGACUGGACAAUGACUGGCCAUGCUGACUUGCAGUAAGUGGCAGCAACACCACUGACAUCAGCAAAAUGAAAUGUUUUGGAGUUAAGUCCAACAUGUGUCCCUGAGGAACUAAGUCCAGGAGUGCAGAUGAUGAGUCUGACUGGUGUAUUCUGACUUACUGCUGGUGAAAGAAGUGGCACCCCUCUACUAGUUAGUCACUGGAGCAAUCCAUAAAGGCAGGAAAUGGUUCCGGUUCUCCAGUGAGAAGUAUGGCAAACGAAGCUGUUGUCUGUAAAGCAGCAUCUAGAAUAGAUCUUCCCACAGCAUAAACACUGAGGAGGUGAGGGAAAAGAUUUU